RNAcentral lists this ribosomal RNA (492 nucleotides) under uncultured bacterium. Its description in RNAcentral is "partial 16S ribosomal RNA". It matches the Rfam family "Bacterial small subunit ribosomal RNA", at positions 28 to 507 of the family's 1533-position model. The record is from RNAcentral.
GAUGAACGCUGGCUACAGGCUUAACACAUGCGAGUCGAGGGGAAAUGGCAUUGAGUGCUUGCACUGAAUGGACGUCGACCGGCGCACGGGUGAGUAACGCGUAUCCAACCUUCCCGUUACUGCGGGAUAACCUGCCGAAAGGCAGACUAAUACCGCAUGUUCUUCGAUGACGGCAUCAGAUUCGAAGCAAAGAUCCGUCGGUAACGGAGGGGGAUGCGUCUGAUUAGCUAGUUGGCGGGGCGACGGCCCACCAAGGCGACGAUCAGUAGGGGUUCUGAGAGGAAGCUCCCCCGCAUUGGAACUGAGACACGGUCCAAGAUCCUACGGGAGGCAGCAGUGAGGAAUAUUAGUCAAUGGGCGGAAGCCUGAACCAGCCAAGUAGCGUGCAGGAUGACGGCCCUACGGGUUGUAAACUGCUUUUAUGCGGGGAUAAAGUGAGGGACGCGUCCCUUUUUGCAGGUACCGCAUGAAUAAGGACCGGCUAAUUCCGUG